GGUUCGUUGGUCUAGUGGCAUGAUUCUCGCUUAGGGUGCGAGAGGUCCCGGGUUCGACUCCCGGACGAGCCC
This is a non-coding RNA of Strongylocentrotus purpuratus (purple sea urchin), 72 nucleotides long. The record is from Rfam. Lineage: Eukaryota; Metazoa; Echinodermata; Echinoidea; Camarodonta; Strongylocentrotidae.